AUGGUAUGUAUGUAUGCUAUUAAUUAUGUAUUAUCUUAUGAUUUUGAUAAUUAUAUAAAUUUUCACCCUUCCGUUGGAAUGAUAUUUUAUACGACAUCACUCAGGUACUCAAGAUAUUGGUGGUUCUCGCAAGGACUAGUCGGAGGGAAUAGUAGCUUACUAGGUAGUGUGUCAUGCUCUGAUCAUGUAGCACGGGGAUCGCUUGAUUCAUAUUUGAUUUGUAUGAGAUAUUUUACAUACUUUAUGUUAUUUUUUUAUAUUAUGAUGUAUUAG
This is a non-coding RNA of Vicia faba (fava bean), 273 nucleotides long. Lineage: Eukaryota; Viridiplantae; Streptophyta; Magnoliopsida; Fabales; Fabaceae. The record is from the annotation of a GenBank genome assembly.